RNAcentral lists this ribosomal RNA (253 nucleotides) under uncultured bacterium. Its description in RNAcentral is "partial 16S ribosomal RNA". It matches the Rfam family "Bacterial small subunit ribosomal RNA", at positions 524 to 776 of the family's 1533-position model. The record is from RNAcentral.
UACGGAGGAUCCAAGCGUUAUCCGGAUUCAUUGGGUUUAAAGGGUGCGUAGGCGGAAUUGUAAGUCAGUGGUGAAAGCCUGCAGCUUAACUGCAGAAUUGCCAUUGAUACUGCAAAUCUUGAGUACAUUUGAUGUGGGCGGAAUGUGUCAUGUAGCGGUGAAAUGCUUAGAUAUGACACAGAACACCGAUUGCGAAGGCAGCUCACAAAACUGUAACUGACGCUGAGGCACGAAAGCAUGGGGAUCGAACAGG